RNAcentral lists this ribosomal RNA (463 nucleotides) under uncultured Exiguobacterium sp. Its description in RNAcentral is "bacterial SSU rRNA". It matches the Rfam family "Bacterial small subunit ribosomal RNA", at positions 920 to 1382 of the family's 1533-position model. Lineage: Bacteria; Bacillati; Bacillota; Bacilli; Caryophanales. The record is from RNAcentral.
CCCGCACAAGCGGUGGAGCAUGUGGUUUAAUUCGAAGCAACGCGAAGAACCUUACCAGGUCUUGACAUCCCCUGACAACCGAGAGAUCGGGCGUUCCCCUUCGGGGGACAGGGUGACAGGUGGUGCAUGGUUGUCGUCAGCUCGUGUCGUGAGAUGUUGGGUUAAGUCCCGCAACGAGCGCAACCCUUGUCACUAGUUGCCAUCAUUUAGUUGGGCACUCUAGUGAGACUGCCGGUGACAAACCGGAGGAAGGUGGGGAUGACGUCAAGUCCUCAUGGCCCUUAUGGGUAGGGCUUCACACGUGCUACAAUGGGCGGUACAAAGGGUCGCGAACCCGCGAGGGGGAGCCAAUCCCAAAAAGCCGCUCUCAGUUCGGAUUGCAGGCUGCAACUCGCCUGCAUGAAGCCGGAAUCGCUAGUAAUCGCGGAUCAGCAUGCCGCGGUCGAAUACGUUCCCGGGCCUU